Molecule: transfer RNA, 60 nt
Filed under: Pseudoniphargus sp. 1-Portugal
Lineage: Eukaryota; Metazoa; Arthropoda; Malacostraca; Amphipoda; Allocrangonyctidae
Description: tRNA-Asp
Source: RNAcentral
AGAAAAUUAGUUAAAUUAUAACAUUAAUUUGUCAAAUUAAAAUUACAUUUGUAUUUUCUG